RNAcentral lists this ribosomal RNA (234 nucleotides) under uncultured bacterium. RNAcentral's name for it is "partial 16S ribosomal RNA". It matches the Rfam family "Bacterial small subunit ribosomal RNA", at positions 15 to 225 of the family's 1533-position model. The record is from RNAcentral.
GAUCCUGGCUCAGGAUGAACGCUAGCUACAGGCUUAACACAUGCAAGUCGAACGAAGAGCGAUGGAAGCUUGCUUCUAUCAAUCUUAGUGGCGAACGGGUGAGUAACGCGUAAUCAACCUGCCCUUCAGAGGGGGGACAACAGUUGGAAACGACUGCUAAUACCGCAUACGAUCCAAUCUCGGCAUCGAGACUGGAUGAAAGGUGGCCUCUAUUUAUAAGCUAUCACUGAAGGG